This 378-nucleotide long non-coding RNA is filed under the name Sinocyclocheilus anshuiensis. Its description in RNAcentral is "lncRNA (ENSSANG00000001198.1)". The record is from RNAcentral. Lineage: Eukaryota; Metazoa; Chordata; Actinopteri; Cypriniformes; Cyprinidae.
ACCUUAAUGAAAAAUAAUAAUGCUGAAAAACAAACCAGAUAUUUACCUGUUCCUUGCACUCAGGGAACAGGCAAUGUUGAGGGAUACCUGGGGUCCUCGAAGCACCUGUUAGCAGUUUGGCUAGUGGUUUCAAGAAGCAGACACAGACGGCAGCCUCACCACGGGAACCAAGACGCACAACUCGAUGACACUUCUGAGCCAAUGAGCACAGCACUGAUGACUGGAGGGCAUGCAUAUAAGAUGCUCCUGUUUAACAUCUGACUUCCUCCAGCCAUGGAGCGAGAACAUAAAGAUCUGCCUUCCAAAACAGUAGCAUAAACCUGAACCAGAGUUUGGGAAGUAAUGGCUUACUAGUAUAGUGCUACAGUAAUAAUAUUA